UGUGUGUGUGUGCGGUGAGAAUCGUCCUCCUGUGUGUGAGCUGAUGAUGUAAUAACUCUCUCUGUGUCUCAGUUACGGUCAGUCUGCGGCCGUCGUCUCCUCCUCGGUGUCCUCCUCCAUGACGGGUCACAUGAUGUACUCCAGCCCACACACACUCAUGUACGCUUCAGCGCCCACGCUAGCAGACGGGAGCGUAGCGGGUGCUCAACGCCUUCACACAGGCACAGGUGUCACACACGACGACUCAGGACACGGCCGGCGUUCCUCAGGUGUUCCUCACAGCUCCUCCCGGUACGGUUCAGAUUCCCGUCUCAGCGGUGCAGCUUCAUCCAGUACGGCAAGAUCAACACUUCACAAAUGGUGAUUGGUCAGCAGUCCAGCGGCAGCAGCAGUAGUCUGACCGAGCUCCAGGUCAUUAAUCUGGACGCCUCACAGAACACCAAACAUCACUGACCGCUCCACCACAGACUGACGCCGCUAUUUAUUCAUGCCUUUAUACAGACUACAACCACAGCACAAUCAGUGAUGUGAAGCCAGACGAGUGUGUGAGUGUGUGUGUGUGUGUGUGUGUGUGUGUGUGUGUGUGUGUGUGUGUGUGUGUGUGUGUGUGUGUGAGUGUGUGUGUGAGUGAGU
Molecule: long non-coding RNA, 633 nt
Organism: Carassius auratus (goldfish)
Lineage: Eukaryota; Metazoa; Chordata; Actinopteri; Cypriniformes; Cyprinidae
Exons: 3
Source: RefSeq, a predicted model, not a curated record